CUUGUACUGUGAAACUGCGAAUGGCUCAUUAAAUCAGUUAUCGUUUAUUUGAUAGUACCUUACUACAUGGAUACCUGUGGUAAUUCUAGAGCUAAUACAUGCUAAAAACCCCGACUUCAGGAAGGGGUGUAUUUAUUAGAUAAAAAACCAACGCCCUUCGGGGCUCCUUGGUGAAUCAUAAUAACUUAACGAAUCGCAUGGCCUUGCGCCGGCGAUGGUUCAUUCAAAUUUCUGCCCUAUCAACUUUCGAUGGUAGGAUAGUGGCCUACCAUGGUGGCAACGGGUAACGGGGAAUUAGGGUUCGAUUCCGGAGAGGGAGCCUGAGAAACGGCUACCACAUCCAAGGAAGGCAGCAGGCGCGCAAAUUACCCAAUCCCGAUACGGGGAGGUAGUGACAAUAAAUACUGAUACGGGGCUCUUUUGGGUCUCGUAAUUGGAAUGAGAACAAUUUAAAUCCCUUAACGAGGAACAAUUGGAGGGCAAGUCUGGUGCCAGCAGCCGCGGUAAUUCCAGCUCCAAUAGCGUAUAUUAAAGUUGUUGCAGUUAAAAAGCUCGUAGUUGAACCUUGGGUCUGGCUGGCCGGUCCGCCUCACCGCGAGUACUGGUCCGGCUGGACCUUUCCUUCUGGGGAACCUCAUGGCCUUCACUGGCUGUGGGGGGAACCAGGACUUUUACUGUGAAAAAAUUAGAGUGUUCAAAGCAGGCCUUUGCUCGAAUACAUUAGCAUGGAAUAAUAGAAUAGGACGUGUGGUUCUAUUUUGUUGGUUUCUAGGACCGCCGUAAUGAUUAAUAGGGAUAGUCGGGGGCGUCAGUAUUCAGCUGUCAGAGGUGAAAUUCUUGGAUUUGCUGAAGACUAACUACUGCGAAAGCAUUCGCCAAGGAUGUUUUCAUUAAUCAGGGAACGAAAGUUAGGGGAUCGAAGACGAUCAGAUACCGUCGUAGUCUUAACCAUAAACUAUGCCGACUAGGGAUCGGACGGGAUUCUAUAAUGACCCGUUCGGCACCUUACGAGAAAUCAAAGUU
Molecule: ribosomal RNA, 1023 nt
Filed under: Penicillium melanoconidium
Lineage: Eukaryota; Fungi; Ascomycota; Eurotiomycetes; Eurotiales; Aspergillaceae
Description: SSU rRNA
Rfam family: Eukaryotic small subunit ribosomal RNA
Source: RNAcentral